This 120-nucleotide ribosomal RNA is filed under the name uncultured bacterium. RNAcentral describes it as "partial 16S ribosomal RNA". It matches the Rfam family "Bacterial small subunit ribosomal RNA", at positions 30 to 149 of the family's 1533-position model. The record is from RNAcentral.
AUUGAACGCUGGCGGCGUGCUUAACACAUGCAAGUCGAUCGGUAACGCGGGGCAACCUGGCGACGAGAGGCGGACGGGUGAGUAACGCUUGGGAAUCUACCUACUAAUGGGGGACAACCC